ACUGCUAUCGGAUUGAUACUAAGCCAUGCGAGUCUUUGUAGUAAUACAAGGCAGACGGCUCAGUAACACGUAGUCAAUCUACCCUAUGGACGGGGAUAACCUCGGGAAACUGAGAAUAAUACCCGAUAGAUCACUAUGCCUGGAAUGGUUUAUGGUCGAAAUGAUUUAUCGCCGUAGGAUGGGACUGCGGUCUAUCAGCUUGUUGGUGAGGUAAUGGCCCACCAAGGCUAUAACAGAUACGGGCUCUGAGAGGAGAAGCCCGGAGAUGGGUACUGAGACACGGACCCAGGCCCUAUGGGGCGCAGCAGGCGAGAAAACUUUGCAAUGUGCGAAAGCACGACAAGGUUAAUCCGAGUGUUUUCUGCUAAAGAAAUCUUUUGUCAGUCCUAAAAACACUGAUGAAUAAGGGGUGGGCAAGUUCUGGUGUCAGCCGCCGCGGUAAAACCAGCACCUCAAGUGGUCAGGAGGAUUAUUGGGCCUAAAGCAUCCGUAGCCGGCCGUGUAAGUUUUCGGUUAAAUCUAUACGCUCAACGUAUAGGCUGCCGGGAAUACUGCACAGCUAGGGAGUGGGAGAGGUAGACGGUACUCGGUAGGAAGGGGUAAAAUCCUUUGAUCUAUUGAUGACCACCUGUGGCGAAGGCGGUCUACUAGAACACGUCCGACGGUGAGGGAUGAAAGCUGGGGGAGCAAACCGGAUUAGAUACCCGGGUAGUCCCAGCUGUAAACAAUGCAAACUCAGUGAUGCACUGGCUUGUGGCCAGUGCAGUGCCGCAGGGAAGCCGUUAAGUUUGCCGCCUGGGAAGUACGUACGCAAGUAUGAAACUUAAAGGAAUUGGCGGGGGAGCACCACAAGGGGUGAAG
Molecule: ribosomal RNA, 861 nt
Filed under: uncultured archaeon
Lineage: Archaea
Description: bacterial SSU rRNA
Rfam family: Archaeal small subunit ribosomal RNA
Source: RNAcentral